This 630-nucleotide ribosomal RNA is filed under the name Triticum aestivum (bread wheat). RNAcentral describes it as "partial small subunit ribosomal RNA". Lineage: Eukaryota; Viridiplantae; Streptophyta; Magnoliopsida; Poales; Poaceae. The record is from RNAcentral.
GCCUCCUUCAUAUGCUUUUAGUUAAUUAAAAAAAUAGCGUCCGGCCGGCGACCGGCGAGCAGAGUGUCCGGCGUCCGGCGUACAACAUGUCCGGCGUCCCGCGUACAGCAUGGUCGGAGCAACAGAGGACGACUACGGACAUGGCCGGAGCAGCAGCCGCGGAUGUGCAGAGGUGCCUUGCAUCCAUCCAGAACCCAAGUCGCCCCCGUGGUCAUCGUGGAGGUCGUCCGCGCGGAGUCGUCGUCGAGACCUUGGGAGAGAGAGGCAGACGGCCUGCACGGGCUAGAUGGCGCAGCUGGUGGUGCGGCGGGCCUUGACUACUGCCCCCGACUAGGAGGUGGCUGCGGGAGGAGACUGUAGGCCGCGGCAACUCCAGCGCUGCUGCUUCUCCGGCUGUGCCGCUGCUACUCCGACGGUGCUGAACGGGGAGAGGGAGAUAGAGGAAGAUGGCAGAAAGAGAAGGAGGAGGUGAGAUGCAUGGCAGGGUCCAGCGAGGGGCGUCGGAGGAGGAUCUUGCGAGGGGCGGUGGCGCGGGAGUCCGGCGUGGCAGCGACGAGGGAGUCCGGCGGGGUAGUCCGUCGAGGGUGCUGUACGUGCGCUGCUGCUGCGCUCCUGUGAGGAGAAAAAGAG